UGUGCAAAGGUAGCAUAAUCAUUUGUUUUUUAAUUGGAAACUGGAAUGAAAGAGGCGACGAGAGGUAGGCUUUUUAUUACACAAGUUAACUUGACAUAAAAGUUAAAAGGCUUUUAUAUUUCGGCGGGACGAUAAGACCCUAUAAAACUUUACUAACAACUUAUAUUAUUAUUGAACUAGUAGCAGGUUGUUGGUUAAGCUGGGGCGGCAAAUAUAUAAACAAUAUUAAUAUUAAAUAUUUAAAAUAGAAAAUUAGAACUUAAGUUAAAAAUUUAAACAAGUUACUUUAGGGAUAACAGCAUAAUUUUUCUUGAUAGUUCUUAUUGGCAGAAAAGUUUAUGACCUCGAUGUUGAAUUGAGAUGUCCUUUAUGGUGCAG
Molecule: ribosomal RNA, 378 nt
Filed under: Asellus aquaticus
Lineage: Eukaryota; Metazoa; Arthropoda; Malacostraca; Isopoda; Asellidae
Description: 16S ribosomal RNA
Rfam family: Bacterial large subunit ribosomal RNA
Source: RNAcentral